UGAAGAUUUGCAUAGACAAAAGAAAAUAUAUUUAAUUUUUGGACUUUAACCAUUUUAGCAUACUCUCCUGCAGCGCAAUCCAUUUUCUUCUAUUUCAUUGUGUGGACUUUCUGCUCACUUGUGUCCGGGAUUUUGCAGCGCUAGAGGGUUAAAUAUCUGAACAGAAAUUGUACCU
Long non-coding RNA from Bufo bufo (common toad), 175 nucleotides. RefSeq lists it as uncharacterized. The record is from RefSeq and is a predicted model, not a curated record. Lineage: Eukaryota; Metazoa; Chordata; Amphibia; Anura; Bufonidae. The transcript has 3 exons.